UUAAGCGACUAAGCGUACACGGUGGAUGCCCUGGCAGUCAGAGGCGAUGAAGGACGUGCUAAUCUGCGAAAAGCGUCGGUAAGGUGAUAUGAACCGUUAUAACCGGCGAUGUCCGAAUGGGGAAACCCAGUGUGAUUCGUCACACUAUCGUUAACUGAAUACAUAGGUUAACGAGGCGAACCGGGGGAACUGAAACAUCUAAGUACCCCGAGGAAAAGAAAUCAACCGAGAUUCCCCCAAUAGCGGCGAGCGAACGGGGAGCAGCCCAGAGUCUGAAUCAGCUUGUGUGUUAGUGGAACGGUCUGGAAAGUCCGACGGUACAGGGUGAUAGUCCCGUACACCAAAAUGCACAGGCUGUGAACUCGAAGAGUAGGGCGGGACACGUGGUAUCCUGUCUGAAUAUGGGGGGACCAUCCUCCAAGGCUAAAUACUCCUGACUGACCGAUAGUGAACCAGUACCGUGAGGGAAAGGCGAAAAGAACCCCGGCGAGGGGAGUGAAAAAGAACCUGAAACCGUGUACGUACAAGCAGUGGGAGCACCUUCGGGUGUGACUGCGUACCUUUUGUAUAAUGGGUCAGCGACUUAUAUUCUGUAGCAAGGUUAACCGUAUAGGGGAGCCGCAGGGAAACCGAGUCUUAACUGGGCGUUAAGUUGCAGGGUAUAGACCCGAAACCCGGUGAUCUAGCCAUGGGCAGGUUGAAGGUUGGGUAACACUAACUGGAGGACCGAACCGACUAAUGUUGAAAAAUUAGCGGAUGACUUGUGGCUGGGGGUGAAAGGCCAAUCAAACCGGGAGAUAGCUGGUUCUCCCCGAAAGCUAUUUAGGUAGCGCCUCGUGAACUCAUCUUCGGGGGUAGAGCACUGUUUCGGCUAGGGGGUCAUCCCGACUUACCAACCCGAUGCAAACUACGAAUACCGAAGAAUGUUAUCACGGGAGACACACGGCGGGUGCUAACGUCCGUCGUGAAGAGGGAAACAACCCAGACCGCCAGCUAAGGUCCCAAAGUCAUGGUUAAGUGGGAAACGAUGUGGGAAGGCACAGACAGCCAGGAUGUUGGCUUAGAAGCAGCCAUCAUUUAAAGAAAGCGUAAUAGCUCACUGGUCGAGUCGGCCUGCGCGGAAGAUGUAACGGGGCUAAACCAUGCACCGAAGCUGCGGCAGCGACACUAUGUGUUGUUGGGUAGGGGAGCGUUCUGUAAGCCUGCGAAGGUGUGCUGUGAGGCAUGCUGGAGGUAUCAGAAGUGCGAAUGCUGACAUAAGUAACGAUAAAGCGGGUGAAAAGCCCGCUCGCCGGAAGACCAAGGGUUCCUGUCCAACGUUAAUCGGGGCAGGGUGAGUCGACCCCUAAGGCGAGGCCGAAAGGCGUAGUCGAUGGGAAACAGGUUAAUAUUCCUGUACUUGGUGUUACUGCGAAGGGGGGACGGAGAAGGCUAUGUUAGCCGGGCGACGGUUGUCCCGGUUUAAGCAUGUAGGCUGGUUGUCCAGGCAAAUCCGGAUAAUCAAGGCUGAGGUGUGAUGACGAGGCACUACGGUGCUGAAGUAACAAAUGCCCUGCUUCCAGGAAAAGCCUCUAAGCAUCAGGUAACAUUAAAUCGUACCCCAAACCGACACAGGUGGUCAGGUAGAGAAUACCAAGGCGCUUGAGAGAACUCGGGUGAAGGAACUAGGCAAAAUGGUGCCGUAACUUCGGGAGAAGGCACGCUGGUGUGUAGGUGAAGUCCCUGCGGAUGGAGCUGAGACCAGUCGAAGAUACCAGCUGGCUGCAACUGUUUAUUAAAAACACAGCACUGUGCAAACACGAAAGUGGACGUAUACGGUGUGACGCCUGCCCGGUGCCGGAAGGUUAAUUGAUGGGGUUAUCCGUAAGGAGAAGCUCUUGAUCGAAGCCCCGGUAAACGGCGGCCGUAACUAUAACGGUCCUAAGGUAGCGAAAUUCCUUGUCGGGUAAGUUCCGACCUGCACGAAUGGCGUAAUGAUGGCCAGGCUGUCUCCACCCGAGACUCAGUGAAAUUGAACUCGCUGUGAAGAUGCAGUGUACCCGCGGCAAGACGGAAAGACCCCGUGAACCUUUACUAUAGCUUGACACUGAACAUUGAGCCUUGAUGUGUAGGAUAGGUGGGAGGCUUUGAAGCGUGGACGCCAGUCUGCGUGGAGCCAACCUUGAAAUACCACCCUUUAAUGUUUGAUGUUCUAACGUUGGCCCCUGACCGGGGUUGCGGACAGUGUCUGGUGGGUAGUUUGACUGGGGCGGUCUCCUCCCAAAGCGUAACGGAGGAGCACGAAGGUUAGCUAAUCCUGGUCGGACAUCAGGAGGUUAGUGCAAUGGCAUAAGCUAGCUUGACUGCGAGCGUGACGGCGCGAGCAGGUGCGAAAGCAGGUCAUAGUGAUCCGGUGGUUCUGAAUGGAAGGGCCAUCGCUCAACGGAUAAAAGGUACUCCGGGGAUAACAGGCUGAUACCGCCCAAGAGUUCAUAUCGACGGCGGUGUUUGGCACCUCGAUGUCGGCUCAUCACAUCCUGGGGCUGAAGUAGGUCCCAAGGGUAUGGCUGUUCGCCAUUUAAAGUGGUACGCGAGCUGGGUUUAGAACGUCGUGAGACAGUUCGGUCCCUAUCUGCCGUGGGCGCUGGAGAAUUGAGGGGGGCUGCUCCUAGUACGAGAGGACCGGAGUGGACGCAUCACUGGUGUUCGGGUUGUCAUGCCAAUGGCACUGCCCGGUAGCUAAAUGCGGAAGAGAUAAGUGCUGAAAGCAUCUAAGCACGAAACUUGCCCCGAGAUGAGUUCUCCCUGAGACUUUAAGUCUCCUGAAGGAACGUUAAAGACGAUGACGUUGAUAGGCCGGGUGUGUAAGCGCAGCGAUGCGUUGAGCUAACCGGUACUAAUGAACCGUGAGGCUUAACCU
Molecule: ribosomal RNA, 2899 nt
Filed under: Klebsiella pneumoniae
Lineage: Bacteria; Pseudomonadati; Pseudomonadota; Gammaproteobacteria; Enterobacterales; Enterobacteriaceae
Description: 23S ribosomal RNA
Rfam family: Bacterial large subunit ribosomal RNA
Source: RNAcentral